Long non-coding RNA from Sander lucioperca (pikeperch), 130 nucleotides. RefSeq lists it as uncharacterized. The transcript is spliced from 3 exons. The record is from RefSeq and is a predicted model, not a curated record. Lineage: Eukaryota; Metazoa; Chordata; Actinopteri; Perciformes; Percidae.
UAAUUCAUUUUUGUGAAUUUGAGGGGUCUCGUUAAGAGGAGCUGCUAGCUAGGCUAUGUGUCCCAUUCAAUCCUAUGGGAAAAGAUCGCAGCUACACUUUCGGCAUAACUAUUGUAUAUUUACACUUUGA